RNAcentral lists this ribosomal RNA (374 nucleotides) under uncultured bacterium. Its description in RNAcentral is "bacterial SSU rRNA". It matches the Rfam family "Bacterial small subunit ribosomal RNA", at positions 43 to 425 of the family's 1533-position model. The record is from RNAcentral.
UCAGGCCUAACACAUGCAAGUCGAACGGUAACAGGUUAAGCUGAAGAGUGGCGAACGGGUGAGUAAAGCAUCGGAACGUGCCCAGUCGUGGGGGAUAACGCAGCGAAAGCUGUGCUAAUACCGCAUACGAUCUAUGGAUGAAAGCGGGGGAUCGCAAGACCUCGCGCGAUUGGAGCGGCCGAUGUCAGAUUAGGUAGUUGGUGGGGUAAAGGCCCACCAAGCCGACGAUCUGUAGCUGGUCUGAGAGGACGACCAGCCACACUGGGACUGAGACACGGCCCAGACUCCUACGGGAGGCAGCAGUGGGGAAUUUUGGACAAUGGGCGCAAGCCUGAUCCAUCAAGGCCGCGUGCAGGAUGAAGGCCUUCGGGUUG